CUCCGUGACCGGAUAAAUGUCUCAUUUUCAGUUGACUCUUCAAAUCCGCUGCUAAUCAAUUUUUUUAUUUAAAUUUAAAUUAAAUAUAAUUAAAUUUUUUAUUUUAAUUAAAAUAAAAUCUUAAAGACUAUAAGGGCGUGUUUGGUUCGAAGUCGGAAUCGAAAUCGGAAUCGGAAUCGAAAUAAGCUGGAAUCGGAAUCGGAAUGACUGAUUACCUAAUUUUGUUUGGUUCAUCACCUGAAUCGGAAUCGGAAUAAAUCAUUCCUAUUGUAGGUGUUUGGUUCAGAUAUAUAUAAAAAACGUAAUCAAAUUAAUAUACUAACUUUAUCUUUAUAAUAUAUUAAUUUAAAUUCAAANAUUAAUAAUUAAAAUUUUAUAAAACUAAAAAUAAUCUUAAUAAGAUUAGAUAUAAUCCUAACGGAUUGAUCAGUAAAGAAUAGGAUUAGAAAAUCUUAGGGUGCGUUUGGUUCGAAGUCGGAAUUGAAAUCAGAAUGGAAUCGAAAUAAGCUGGAAUCGGAAUCGGAAUGGGACUCCUGCGUACCAAACACCCACAAGCGGAUUCGUCCAUUCCGAUUCCGACUCCAGGUGAAAAAGAAACGAACCAAACACGCCCUAAAAGUAUCUCAAAAGCAACUCCCUCUUAAAUUAUAUUUAUUUUCAUAAAAACUAAUAUUUAAAAUUGAAAUAAUGUAUCAAAAAAAUUUAAAAGUUAUUUUAUAAUUUACAUACUUAUUCACAU
This 739-nucleotide long non-coding RNA is filed under the name Ananas comosus (pineapple). Its description in RNAcentral is "long non-coding RNA (ACOM_LNC005874)". Lineage: Eukaryota; Viridiplantae; Streptophyta; Magnoliopsida; Poales; Bromeliaceae. The record is from RNAcentral.